AAUGAACGCUGGCGGCAUGCCUAACACAUGCAAGUCGAACGAAGCCUUCGGGCUUAGUGGCGCACGGGUGCGCAACGCGUGGGAAAAUGCCCUUGGGUUCGGAAUAACUCUCCGAAAGGAGUGCUAAUACCGGAUGAUGUCGAACGACCAAAGAUUUAUCGCCAAGGGAUGAGCCCGCGUAGGAUUAGCUAGUUGGUGAGGUAAAAGCUCACCAAGGCGACGAUCCUUAGCUGGUCUGAGAGGAUGAUCAGCCACACUGGGACUGAGGCACGGCCCAGACUCCUAUGGGAGGCAGCAGUGGGGAAUAUUGGACAAUGGGCGAAAGCCUGAUCCAGCAAUGCCGCGUGAGUGAUGAAGGCCUUAGGGUUGUAAAGCUCUUUUACCCGGGGUGAUAAUGACAGUACCGGGAGAAUAAGCCCCGGCUAACUCCGUGCCAGCCGCCGCGAUAA
RNAcentral lists this ribosomal RNA (449 nucleotides) under uncultured bacterium. RNAcentral describes it as "partial 16S ribosomal RNA". It matches the Rfam family "Bacterial small subunit ribosomal RNA", at positions 29 to 523 of the family's 1533-position model. The record is from RNAcentral.